GACGAACGCUGGCGGCGUGCUUAACACAUGCAAGUCGAGGGGGCCCGCAAGGGUCACCGGCGAACGGGUGCGUAACACGUGAGCAACCUGCCGCGGAGUGGGGGAUAGCCGGCCCAACGGCCGGGUAGUACCGCAUACGAUCCUUGGGGGGAGUCCUCUGGGGAUGAAAGUUUUAACGCUCUGCGAGGGGCUCGCGGCCUAUCAGCUAGUUGGCGAGGUAACGGCUCACCAAGGCGACGACGGGUAGCUGGUCUGAGAGGAUGGCCAGCCACAUUGGGACUGCGACACGGCCCAGACUCCUACGGGAGGCAGCAGUGGGGAAUCUUGCGCAAUGGGCGAAAGCCUGACGCAGCGACGCCGCGUGGGGGAGGAAGGUCUUCGGAUUGUAAACCCCUGUUGCCCGGGACGAACCUCUCGUUUCGACGAGACUGACGGUACCGGGUGAGGAAGCACCGGCUAACUCCGUGCCAGCAGCCGCGGUAAUACGGAGGGUGCGAGCGUUGUCCGGAAUCACUGGGCGUAAAGGGCGCGUAGGUGGCACGGUAAGCGUGUGGUGAAAGCUCGGGGCUCAACCCCGAGUCGGCCAUGCGAACUGCUGCGCUUGAGCACUGUAGAGGCAGACGGAAUUCCGGGUGUAGCGGUGGAAUGCGUAGAGAUCCGGAAGAACACCGGUGGCGAAGGCGGUCUGCUGGGCAGUAGCUGACACUGAGGCGCGACAGCGUGGGGAGCAAACAGGAUUAGAUACCCUGGUAGUCCACGCCGUAAACGAUGGGCACUAGGUGCCUGGGGGAGCGACCCCC
RNAcentral lists this ribosomal RNA (800 nucleotides) under uncultured Gemmatimonadota bacterium. Its description in RNAcentral is "bacterial SSU rRNA". It matches the Rfam family "Bacterial small subunit ribosomal RNA", at positions 28 to 840 of the family's 1533-position model. Lineage: Bacteria; Pseudomonadati; Gemmatimonadota. The record is from RNAcentral.